Molecule: RNA transcript, 1942 nt
Organism: Zea mays
Lineage: Eukaryota; Viridiplantae; Streptophyta; Magnoliopsida; Poales; Poaceae
Gene name: spermidine synthase 1
Exons: 13
Source: RefSeq, marked provisional
AGCAAACACACCUGUACUUUCCAUUUUCAUCUCGUUUCGCCGCCUUUUACUUAUCCCAUCUUCCCUCGACUGCGCUCUCUCUCCCCCUUCUCUCGCGCGGCAACUGGGCCAUCGCCGCCACCCCUACCCAGGUCUUCGUCGGUCGCUUCGCCAGCCGCCAGGUCUUCGUCGGCCCAUCCCCCGGUCUUCGUCCUUCAAUCCUCCGGCGACGAGCACCCACCAGAGGCUGGGAACUCCAAAGAGGAACAGGGUCCAUGGCUGGAGGCGCAGGAAAUGGUUCGAACGAGGCGGUGCAGGCAAAGGGGAGUGGGGGUGAUAGCUCCGCCGCCAAGCCGCUGCCCCCUUGCUGCGUCAAGGCGAGAGCGGCGGCGCCCGAGUCUGAGGCCAAGUGCCAUGCCACCGUGGUUUCGGGAUGGUUCACCGAGCCACGAUCACACUGCGGUAAAGCCAGCAAGGUUCAGUAUUACAAUAACCCAAUGUGGCCAGGAGAGGCCCAUUCCUUGAAAGUGGAGAACAUAUUGUACCAGGGGAAAUCACCAUACCAGGAAGUCCUGGUCUUUGAGUCGUCAACCUAUGGGAAAGUCCUUGUGCUUGAUGGUAUUGUUCAAUUGACUGAUAAGGAUGAAUGUGCGUACCAGGAAAUGAUUACUCACCUCCCACUCUGUUCAAUUCCAUCCCCUAAAAAGGUUUUGGUUAUUGGUGGUGGUGAUGGAGGUGUACUUCGAGAGAUUUCCAGACACAGUUCAGUGGAGUCUAUUGACAUAUGUGAAAUUGAUCAGCUGGUUAUUGAUAUCUGCAAGGAAUUCUUCCCACAUUUGUCUGUUGGAUUUGAAGAUCCUCGUGUUCAACUUCAUGUUGGUGACGCUGUGGAGUUCUUGAGAAAUGCUCCUGAAGGGACAUAUGAUGCUAUCAUUGUUGAUUCAUCUGACCCAAUAGGGCCUGCUCAGGAACUUGUGGAGAAGCCUUUUUUUGAGACCAUCGCUAGAGCUUUGAGGCCUGGUGGUGUUCUUUGUAAUCAAGCUGAGAGUAUGUGGUUGCAUACACAUUUGAUUCAGGACAUGCUUUCAAUUUGCCGUGAGACUUUCAAGGGUUCUGUCCGCUAUGCAUGGGCUAGUGUCCCAACAUACCCGAGUGAACUGGUGGCAGCGCUGGUUCAUUUGCCAGUCAUAGGAUAUUUCAGGCUUUAGCUCAACUCAUGCGAGGAACCAGUCAUAGCCUGACAAACCAUUAUGGGGUGAUUGGGUUUCUGUUAUGCGCCAAGGAUGGCCCACCGGUCAACUUUCUGACUCCUGUAAAUCCAAUUGAAGAAGUGGAAGGAGCUACUAAAGCGGGAAGGGAGAUCAGGUUUUAUAAUUCAGAGAUGCAUAUGGCAGCGUUUGUUCUUCCGACAUUUGCCAAGAGGGAGCUAGAAGCAUACUGUGCUUCCACGGAAACGGAGCAGGCGGAGGAAGUAGCGGCCACGGCACCACAAAAGCUAACUGCGGCGCCCAAGCGUGGAAUUACCACCGCAUCCUAGCUGUUGGAUACACACAUAGCCAUGUACUAUUAUUAUCACGCACGUAAUCUAAGCAUCGAAGUCGAGUGCGUGCGUGUUGGGUGGGGGUACGCGCAUCGCGGUUUGACGCGCGAUGUAUUUGAUAAUAAUUCGUGCUCCGAGGUACCAACAAGCAACGAUGAGAGAAGCAUUCCACCUUUACACUCCCCUUUUAGGUCUGGAUACUCAUUAUUGAUCUCAAUCCACAUGAGUUGAGGUGGAUUGGGGGUGUUUAACAGGGCUUUUUGGUUUGAAAGAGAUUAGAGAGGAUUAAAUUUCUUUCUAUACAAAUUUGUAUAUGAGAUUUAAUUUUUCUCAAUACACCCUUAAUCGAACAAACCCUUAGUAGAUCAGCCAGAUGAUCUAUGCUAUGAUAUAUAUAUAACAUGCUCAAGUGUUUUGUGAUAA